UGCCAAAAGCUCCUUGGGUGGCAUCUCCAGU
Molecule: non-coding RNA, 31 nt
Filed under: Rattus norvegicus (Norway rat)
Lineage: Eukaryota; Metazoa; Chordata; Mammalia; Rodentia; Muridae
Source: RNAcentral